This 433-nucleotide ribosomal RNA is filed under the name uncultured bacterium. RNAcentral's name for it is "partial 16S ribosomal RNA". It matches the Rfam family "Bacterial small subunit ribosomal RNA", at positions 29 to 507 of the family's 1533-position model. The record is from RNAcentral.
AACGAACGCUGGCGGCAGGCUUAACACAUGCAAGUCGAACGGAACCUUCGGGAAUAGUGGCUGACGCGUGAGUAACGCGUGGGAACGUACCCUUUGCUACGGAAUAACACAGGGAAACUUGAGCUAAUACCGUAUGUGCUCUACGGGGGCAAGAUUUAUCGGCAAAGGAUCGGCCCGCGUUGGAUUAGCCAGUUGGUGUGGUAAUGGCCUACCAAGGCGACGAUCCAUAGCUGGUCUGAGAGGAUGAUCAGCCACACUGGGACUGAGACACGGCCCAGACUCCUACGGGAGGGAGCAGUGGGGAAUAUUGGACAAUGGGCGCAAGCCUGAUCCAGCCAUGCCGCGUGAGUGAUGAAGGUCUUAGGAUUGUAAAGCUCGUUCACCGGUGAAGAUAAUGACGGUAGCCGGAGAAGAAGCCCCGGCUAACUUCGUG